Molecule: small nuclear RNA, 110 nt
Organism: Ictalurus furcatus (blue catfish)
Lineage: Eukaryota; Metazoa; Chordata; Actinopteri; Siluriformes; Ictaluridae
Source: RefSeq, a predicted model, not a curated record
GUGGCUAUGGCGGCACAUAUACUAAUAUUGGAAUGAUACAGAGAAGGUUAGCAUGGCCCUUACCAAAAGAAUGACUAGUGGAGUAGGUGGAGCCGGGGAAGAAGAUAAGU